This 2930-nucleotide ribosomal RNA is filed under the name Proteus vulgaris. Its description in RNAcentral is "23S ribosomal RNA". It matches the Rfam family "Bacterial large subunit ribosomal RNA". RNAcentral also lists the same sequence under 1 other name. Lineage: Bacteria; Pseudomonadati; Pseudomonadota; Gammaproteobacteria; Enterobacterales; Morganellaceae. The record is from RNAcentral.
GGGUUGUGAGGUUAAGCGAAUAAGCGUACACGGUGGAUGCCUAGGCAAUCAGAGGCGAUGAAGGACGUGCUAAUCUGCGAUAAGCGUCGGUAAGGUGAUAUGAACCGUUAUACCCGACGAUUUCCGAAUGGGGAAACCCAAUAUCCAAUGGAUAUUAUCAUGACGUGAAUACAUAGCGUCAUGAAGCGAACCGGGAGAACUGAAACAUCUCAGUACCCCGAGGAAAAGAAAUCAACCGAGAUUCCCCUAGUAGCGGCGAGCGAACGGGGAACAGCCCAGAGUCUUAAUCAAUAGCAGCAUCAGGAGAACGGUCUGGAAAGUCCGGCAGUAAAGGGUGAUAGCCCCGUAUCCGAAGAUGCUGUUAUUGUGAACUCGACGAGUAGGGCGGGACACGUGUUAUCCUGUCUGAAUAUGGGGGGACCAUCCUCCAAGGCUAAAUACUCCUGAUUGACCGAUAGUGAACCAGUACCGUGAGGGAAAGGCGAAAAGAACCCCGGCGAGGGGAGUGAAAAAGAACCUGAAACCGUGUACGUACAAGCAGUAGGAGCCUCUUUAUGGGGUGACUGCGUACCUUUUGUAUAAUGGGUCAGCGACUUAUAUUCUGUAGCAAGGUUAACCGUAUAGGGGAGCCGUAGGGAAACCGAGUCUUAACUGGGCGAAUGAGUUGCAGGGUAUAGACCCGAAACCCGGUGAUCUAUCCAUGGGCAGGUUGAAGGUUGGGUAACACUAACUGGAGGACCGAACCGACUAAUGUUGAAAAAUUAGCGGAUGACUUGUGGAUGGGGGUGAAAGGCCAAUCAAACCGGGAGAUAGCUGGUUCUCCCCGAAAGCUAUUUAGGUAGCGCCUCGUGAACUCAUCUUCGGGGGUAGAGCACUGUUUCGACUAGGGGGUCAUCCCGACUUACCAACUCGAUGCAAACUGCGAAUACCGAAGAAUGUUAUCACGGGAGACACACGGCGGGUGCUAACGUCCGUCGUGAAGAGGGAAACAACCCAGACCGCCAGCUAAGGUCCCAAAGUCAUGGUUAAGUGGGAAACGAAGUGGGAAGGCUCAGACAGCCAGGAUGUUGGCUUAGAAGCAGCCAUCAUUUAAAGAAAGCGUAAUAGCUCACUGGUCGAGUCGGCCCGCGCGGAAGAUGUAACGGGGCUAAACCAUGCACCGAAGCUGCGGCAGCGACACUAUGUGUUGUUGGGUAGGGGAGCGUUCUGUAAGCCUGCGAAGGUGUACUGUGAGGUAUGCUGGAGGUAUCAGAAGUGCGAAUGCUGACAUAAGUAACGAUAAUGCGGGUGAAAAACCCGCACGCCGGAAGACCAAGGGUUCCUGUCCAACGUUAAUCGGGGCAGGGUGAGUCGACCCCUAAGGCGAGGCUGAAAAGCGUAGUCGAUGGGAAACGGGUUAAUAUUCCCGUACUGGUGGUAACUGCGAUGGGGGAACGGAGAAGGCUAGGUUGUCCGGGCGACGGUCGUCCCGGUUCAAGCAUGUAGGCAGAGUGAUUAGGCAAAUCCGGUCACUUAAUGCUGAGGUGUGAUGACGAGCCACUAAGGUGGUGAAGCAAUUGAUGCCCUGCUUCCAGGAAAAGCCUCUAAGCUUCAGGUUACCAACAAUCGUACCCCAAACCGACACAGGUGGUCAGGUAGAGAAUACUCAGGCGCUUGAGAGAACUCGGGUGAAGGAACUAGGCAAAAUGGUGCCGUAACUUCGGGAGAAGGCACGCUGGCGGUAAGUGAAGUCCCUUGCGGACGGAGCCGAAGCCAGUCGAAGAUACCAGCUGGCUGCAACUGUUUAUUAAAAACACAGCACUGUGCAAACACGAAAGUGGACGUAUACGGUGUGACGCCUGCCCGGUGCUGGAAGGUUAAUUGAUGGGGUUAUCCGUAAGGAGAAGCUCUUGAUCGAAGCCCCAGUAAACGGCGGCCGUAACUAUAACGGUCCUAAGGUAGCGAAAUUCCUUGUCGGGUAAGUUCCGACCUGCACGAAUGGCGUAAUGAUGGCCAGGCUGUCUCCACCCGAGACUCAGUGAAAUUGAACUCGCUGUGAAGAUGCAGUGUACCCGCGGCAAGACGGAAAGACCCCGUGAACCUUUACUAUAGCUUGACACUGAACAUUGAGCCUUGAUGUGUAGGAUAGGUGGGAGACUAUGAAGUGUGGACGCCAGUCUGCAUGGAGUCAACCUUGAAAUACCACCCUUUAACGUUUGAUGUUCUAACCUAGGUCCAUAAUCUGGAUCGGGGACCGUGUCUGGUGGGUAGUUUGACUGGGGCGGUCUCCUCCUAAAGAGUAACGGAGGAGCACGAAGGUUGGCUAAGCAUGGUCGGACAUCAUGCGGUUAGUGCAAAGGCAUAAGCCAGCUUGACUGUGAGAGUGACGGCUCGAGCAGGUACGAAAGUAGGUCUUAGUGAUCCGGUGGUUCUGAAUGGAAGGGCCAUCGCUCAACGGAUAAAAGGUACUCCGGGGAUAACAGGCUGAUACCGCCCAAGAGUUCAUAUCGACGGCGGUGUUUGGCACCUCGAUGUCGGCUCAUCACAUCCUGGGGCUGAAGUAGGUCCCAAGGGUAUGGCUGUUCGCCAUUUAAAGUGGUACGCGAGCUGGGUUUAGAACGUCGUGAGACAGUUCGGUCCCUAUCUGCCGUGGGCGUUGGAAGAUUGAGAGGGGUUGCUCCUAGUACGAGAGGACCGGAGUGAACGCACCACUGGUGUUCGGGUUGUCAUGCCAAUGGCAUUGCCCGGUAGCUAAGUGCGGAAGAGAUAACCGCUGAAAGCAUCUAAGCGGGAAACUUGCCUCGAGAUGAGUCUUCCCUGUCACCUUGAGUGACCUAAAGGAACGUUUAAGACUAAGACGUUGAUAGGCUGGGUGUGUAAGCGUAGCGAUACGUUGAGCUAACCAGUACUAAUGAACCGUGAGGCUUAACCUGACAACACCGAAGGUGUUU